UUCGGAGAGUUUGAUCCUGGCUCAGGAUGAACGCUGGCGGCGUGCCUAAUACAUGCAAGUCGAGCGAACUGAUUAGAAGCUUGCUUCUAUGACGUUAGCGGCGGACGGGUGAGUAACACGUGGGCAACCUGCCUGUAAGACUGGGAUAACUUCGGGAAACCGAAGCUAAUACCGGAUAGGAUCUUCUCCUUCAUGGGAGAUGAUUGAAAGAUGGUUUCUGGCUAUCACUUACAGAUGGGCCCGCGGUGCAUUAGCUAGUUGGUGAGGUAACGGCUCACCAAGGCAACGAUGCAUAGCCGACCUGAGAGGGUGAUCGGCCACACUGGGACUGAGACACGGCCCAGACUCCUACGGAGGCAGCAGUAGGGAAUCUUCCGCAAUGGACGAAAGUUCGCGUGAGUGAUAAACUCUUGUUUGUUAGGGAAGAACAAGUACAAGAGUAACUGCUUGUACCUUGACGGUACCUAACCAGAAAGCCACGGCUAACUACGUGCCAGCAGCCGCGGUAAUACGUAGGUGGCAAGCGUUAUCCGGAAUUAUUAAGGCGUAAAGCGCGCGCAGGCGGUUUCUGUCUGAUAGAAAGCCCACGGCUCAACCGUGGAGGGUCAUUGGAAACUGGGAACUUGAGUGCAGAAGAGAAAAGCGGAAUUCCACGUAGCGGUGAAAUGCGUAGAGAUGUGGAGAACACCAGUGGCGAAGGCGGCUUUUUGGUCUGUAACUGACGCUGAGGCGCGAAAGCGUGGGGGAGCAAACAGGAUUAGAUACCCUGGUAGUCCACGCCGUAAACGAUGAGUGCUAAGUGUUAGAGGGUUUCCGCCCUUUAGUGCUGCAGCUAACGCAUUAAGCACCUGCCUGGGGAGUACGGUCGCAAGACUGAAACUCAAAGGAAUUGACGGGGCCCGCACAAGCGGUGGAGCAUGGUUUAAUUCGAAGCAACGCGAAGAACCUUACCAGGUCUUGACAUCCUCUGACAACUCUAGAGAUAGAGCGUUCCCCUUCGGGGACAGAGUGACAGGUGGUGCAUGGUUGUCGUCAGCUCGUGUCGUGAGAUGUUGGGUUAAGUCCCGCAACGAGCGCAACCCUUGAUCUUAGUUGCCAGCAUUUAGUUGGGCACUCUAAGGUGACUGCCGGUGAUAAACCGGAGGAAGGUGGGGAUGACGUCAAAUCAUCAUGCCCCUUAUGACCUGGGCUACACACGUGCUACAAUGGAUGGUACAAAGGGCUGCAAGACCGCGAGGUCAAGCCAAUCCCAUAAAACCAUUCUCAGUUCGGAUUGUAGGCUGCAACUCGCCUACAUGAAGCUGGAAUCGCUAGUAAUCGCGGAUCAGCAUGCCGCGGUGAAUACGUUCCCGGGCCUUGUACACACCGCCCGUCACACCACGAGUUUGUAACACCCGAAGUCGGUGGAGUAACCGUAAGGAGCUAGCCGCCUAAGGUGGGACAGAUGAUUGGGGUGAAGUCGUAACAAGGUAGCCGUAUCGGAAGGUGCGGCUGGAUCACCUCCUUUCU
RNAcentral lists this ribosomal RNA (1509 nucleotides) under Priestia megaterium. Its description in RNAcentral is "bacterial SSU rRNA". It matches the Rfam family "Bacterial small subunit ribosomal RNA". The record is from RNAcentral. Lineage: Bacteria; Bacillati; Bacillota; Bacilli; Caryophanales; Bacillaceae.